Molecule: long non-coding RNA, 1389 nt
Organism: Acanthochromis polyacanthus (spiny chromis)
Lineage: Eukaryota; Metazoa; Chordata; Actinopteri; Pomacentridae
Exons: 3
Source: RefSeq, a predicted model, not a curated record
CAUACACUGAGUAGCAUCAAAAUACUACAAGAUACAGUACUAAAGAAUACUAUUGUGAAGUUUUGGUUGGCAUUCGUUUGCUGCAACAUUGAGUUUAUAUAUGUGUCCGUACCUCUAGUACAGAUGCUACCGGUAUGGGUCUCUAGCAUCAAUCUUUCUGAAAGGUGGCAACCCCAAGUGUGUGUGUGUGUGUGUGUGUGUGUGUGUGUGUGUGUGUGUGUGUGUGUGUUUUAACUCCGUCAGUCAGUGUGUGCGCGUGUGCGAGGUAGGUCUGUUAGCUACGUCUAUUGGCUAGGUCUGUUAGCUUUGUCCGUUAGCUAGGUCCGUUAGCUACAUCUGUUGCUAGGUCUGUUAGCUUCGUCCGUUAGCUAGGUCUGUUAGCUUCGUCCGUUGGCUAGGUCUGUUAGCUUUGUCCGUUGGCUAGGUCUCUUUGGUAAAUUUUAUCUCUCGUUUUUCUGCUGUUUGCUGCUGAGAUGAAUCUGAUGACCAAAGCAGGCCAGACAAACAACACAUUGAAAGAUUUCUGUCAGGAUAAAUCCAGAGCAGAUAAGUGUGCCUCCAAGGUUCAAGCAGAAGUUACUGGUACUGGUCAGAUGGUGCUAUGAGAAAAUGGGUCCCUUGGUCCACAUGUGGAAUCAUUCAGCUGGGACAGAACAGAUAAUACCAGAUGUCGACUGUAGCCCAGGAAGAGGAUUCCAUCCCAGAAACAAAUCUCCAAUUCAGGAUGAGGAAUGUACUUCAACAGCAAGUCCAGGAUUAAUAAAGUUAGUUGUGAAUGUUCUGUUGUUGAAAUUCUGCAAUUCUUGGUUUAGACGUAUUCAGCAUUUCCAUGUUUUUGUACAUUUCCACUUUUAAUCAAGUAUCUAACUGUUUCCAGUGCUUGGAUUUCACAGUUUUAUUUGUAAAAACUAUUUUAUAUUUUUAUAUAUAUAUAUCGACUCCGUAUGGCGGCUCUCUCUAUAAAGAUCUUUCUGUGAAUAUUUUUGAACUGAAUCAACUUUACUAGGACGACUCUGUCCGCUACGCUCAGAGAGCAAAUGAGCAAAUGAAAAGCAAUAUUAGACUUGCACACAUGACAUUGUUUUGAUCAACAACUCCUUUGUUCCCUUAUAGUGUCACUAGACGUACAGUCAGUUUAUCUCCUCAAACAAUAAAUCGUUUAUUAAAAUAUGCAUGCAAUUCUAAACAUAAUUCCAGGAAAUGCACUUUACAUUGUCUGAAUAACUUAAAGUGGAAUGAUUUGUGUGUUCAUAAAUGUAGUGUUGUUGUUUACAGAAUGAAAAAUGCAAAGUUAAAUGUAUGUAUCUGUUUGUAUAUGGAAAUGUGUGUGUCUGAAGAAUGUUUAGGCUGAGUGAGAUGAGAAAAUAAAUGACAUUUGUGACAAGAACA